Molecule: ribosomal RNA, 433 nt
Filed under: uncultured bacterium
Lineage: Bacteria
Description: partial 16S ribosomal RNA
Rfam family: Bacterial small subunit ribosomal RNA
Source: RNAcentral
AACGAACGCUGGCGGCAGGCCUAACACAUGCAAGUCGAGCGGACCCUUCGGGGUUAGCGGCGGACGGGUGAGUAACGCGUGGGAACGUGCCCUUUGCUUCGGAAUAGCCCUGGGAAACUGGGAGUAAUACCGGAUACGCCCUUUUGGGGAAAGAUUUAUCGGCGAAGGAUCGGCCCGCGUUGGAUUAGGUAGUUGGUGGGGUAAUGGCCUACCAAGCCGACGAUCCAUAGCUGGUUUGAGAGGAUGAUCAGCCACACUGGGACUGAGACACGGCCCAGACUCCUACGGGAGGCAGCAGUGGGGAAUCUUAGACAAUGGGGGAAACCCUGAUAUAGCCAUGCCGCGUGAGAGAUGAAGGCCUUAGGGUUGUAAAGCUCUUUCACCGGGGAAGAUAAUGACGGUACCCGGAGAAGAAGCCCCGGCUAACUCCGUG